UGGGGCGUAGCCAAGUUGGUAAGGCAGCGAGUUUUGGUCCCGCUAUUCGGAGGUUCGAAUCCUUCCGUCCCAG
This 73-nucleotide transfer RNA is filed under the name Orobanche latisquama. RNAcentral's name for it is "tRNA-Gln". It matches the Rfam family "tRNA". Rfam says of the family: Transfer RNA (tRNA) molecules are approximately 80 nucleotides in length. Their secondary structure includes four short double-helical elements and three loops (D, anti-codon, and T loops). Lineage: Eukaryota; Viridiplantae; Streptophyta; Magnoliopsida; Lamiales; Orobanchaceae. The record is from RNAcentral.